UCGCGGGCGCAGGAAAUUUGAGAGGAGCUGUCCUUAGUACGAGAGGACCGGGAUGGACGCACCGCUGGUGUACCAGUUGUUCUGCCAAGGGCAUCGCUGGGUAGCUAUGUGCGGACGGGAUAAGUGCUGAAAGCAUCUAAGCAUGAAGCCCCCCUCAAGAUGAGAUUUCCCAUUCCGCAAGGAAGUAAGAUCCCUGAAAGAUGAUCAGGUUGAUAGGUCUGAGGUGGAAGUGUGGCGACACAUGGAGCUGACAGAUACUAAUCGAUCGAGGACUUAACCCACA
Molecule: ribosomal RNA, 283 nt
Filed under: Bacillus subtilis
Lineage: Bacteria; Bacillati; Bacillota; Bacilli; Caryophanales; Bacillaceae
Description: partial 23S ribosomal RNA
Rfam family: Bacterial large subunit ribosomal RNA
Source: RNAcentral